This 480-nucleotide ribosomal RNA is filed under the name Triticum aestivum (bread wheat). RNAcentral's name for it is "partial small subunit ribosomal RNA". Lineage: Eukaryota; Viridiplantae; Streptophyta; Magnoliopsida; Poales; Poaceae. The record is from RNAcentral.
AAGGAAGGUGAAAGGGACAUCUAUAAGAUGGCUAAGAUCCGGGAGAGGAAGACGAGGGAUAUUUGCCAAGUCAAAUGCAUCCAGGACGGAGCAGGACAACUCUUGGUGAAGGACGAAGAGAUUAAGCAUAGAUGGCGGGAGUACUUCGACAAGCUGUUCAAUGGGGAGAAUGAGAGUUCUACCAUUGAACUGAAUGACUCCUUUGAUGAGACCAGCAUGCGUUUUGUGCGGUGCAUCCAGGAGUCUGAGGUGAAGGAGGCUUUAAAAAGGAUGAAAGGAGGCAAGGCGAUGGGCCCUGAUUGUAUCCCCAUUGAGGUGUGGAAAGGUCUCGGGGACAUAGCGAUAGUAUGGCUAACCAAGCUUUUCAACCUCAUUUUUCGGGCAAACAAGAUGCCAGAAGAAUGGAGACGGAGUAUAUUAGUACCAAUCUUCAAGAACAAGGGGGAUGUUCAGAGUUGUACUAAUUACCGUGGAAUUAAG